This 781-nucleotide ribosomal RNA is filed under the name Salmonella enterica subsp. enterica serovar Typhimurium. Its description in RNAcentral is "bacterial SSU rRNA". It matches the Rfam family "Bacterial small subunit ribosomal RNA", at positions 1 to 764 of the family's 1533-position model. Lineage: Bacteria; Pseudomonadati; Pseudomonadota; Gammaproteobacteria; Enterobacterales; Enterobacteriaceae. The record is from RNAcentral.
UUGGGGUUGUUUUUUUAAAUUUUUUAUCUGCUCAGAUUGAACGCUGGCGGCAGGCCUAACACAUGCAAGUCGAACGGUAACAGGAAGCAGCUUGCUGCUUCGCUGACGAGUGGCGGACGGGUGAGUAAUGUCUGGGAAACUGCCUGAUGGAGGGGGAUAACUACUGGAAACGGUGGCUAAUACCGCAUAACGUCGCAAGACCAAAGAGGGGGACCUUCGGGCCUCUUGCCAUCAGAUGUGCCCAGAUGGGAUUAGCUUGUUGGUGAGGUAACGGCUCACCAAGGCGACGAUCCCUAGCUGGUCUGAGAGGAUGACCAGCCACACUGGAACUGAGACACGGUCCAGACUCCUACGGGAGGCAGCAGUGGGGAAUAUUGCACAAUGGGCGCAAGCCUGAUGCAGCCAUGCCGCGUGUAUGAAGAAGGCCUUCGGGUUGUAAAGUACUUUCAGCGGGGAGGAAGGUGUUGUGGUUAAUAACCGCAGCAAUUGACGUUACCCGCAGAAGAAGCACCGGCUAACUCCGUGCCAGCAGCCGCGGUAAUACGGAGGGUGCAAGCGUUAAUCGGAAUUACUGGGCGUAAAGCGCACGCAGGCGGUCUGUCAAGUCGGAUGUGAAAUCCCCGGGCUCAACCUGGGAACUGCAUUCGAAACUGGCAGGCUUGAGUCUUGUAGAGGGGGGUAGAAUUCCAGGUGUAGCGGUGAAAUGCGUAGAGAUCUGGAGGAAUACCGGUGGCGAAGGCGGCCCCCUGGACAAAGACUGACGCUCAGUGCGAAAGACGCC